UGAGUGUUAUGUGAACUUAUAUUCUCUGAUAAGGCCAUUCAUUCAGACUUAAGGGCAAAGAUUAUAAAAGCAGGGGUUUGCCUGGAAACUGUUUUGUCAUAGUAAAAUAGAGCUUUCUGAUUCAUGAAUUAUUCUCUCCUAAAAAGCUUAUCUUCUGGUACGUGCAGUUUCUGUUCCUCUUUUUAUAUUUGGUAGUGACCUGUUCCAAAACAGAUCACGAGGGGAUUGCCUCAUGUAUGCAGGGGGGGACUGUAUAAAAAUGCCCAGUCGACACAGAAAGGGGCUUUUUUCCGACUUUCCUGACUACUCUCAUUCUUCAUCCAUUGCUUUCGCUUUAUUUUUCCUUUUUGCAACUUCAAAAUAAAAACCUUCUCUUUUUGGCA
Astyanax mexicanus (Mexican tetra) is the source of this 383-nucleotide long non-coding RNA. RefSeq lists it as uncharacterized. The transcript has 2 exons. The record is from RefSeq and is a predicted model, not a curated record. Lineage: Eukaryota; Metazoa; Chordata; Actinopteri; Characiformes; Acestrorhamphidae.